RNAcentral lists this small RNA (33 nucleotides) under Arabidopsis thaliana (thale cress). The record is from RNAcentral. Lineage: Eukaryota; Viridiplantae; Streptophyta; Magnoliopsida; Brassicales; Brassicaceae.
AAGUGGUUCACAGGUAGCUCAGAUGGUUAGAGC